RNAcentral lists this ribosomal RNA (465 nucleotides) under uncultured Klebsiella sp. RNAcentral's name for it is "bacterial SSU rRNA". It matches the Rfam family "Bacterial small subunit ribosomal RNA", at positions 338 to 795 of the family's 1533-position model. The record is from RNAcentral. Lineage: Bacteria; Pseudomonadati; Pseudomonadota; Gammaproteobacteria; Enterobacterales; Enterobacteriaceae.
CCUACGGGUGGCAGCAGUGGGGAAUAUUGCACAAUGGGCGCAAGCCUGAUGCAGCCAUGCCGCGUGUGUGAAGAAGGCCUUCGGGUUGUAAAGCACUUUCAGCGGGGAGGAAGGCGUUAAGGUUAAUAACCUUGGCGAUUGACGUUACCCGCAGAAGAAGCACCGGCUAACUCCGUGCCAGCAGCCGCGGUAAUACGGAGGGUGCAAGCGUUAAUCGGAAUUACUGGGCGUAAAGCGCACGCAGGCGGUCUGUCAAGUCGGAUGUGAAAUCCCCGGGCUCAACCUGGGAACUGCAUUCGAAACUGGCAGGCUAGAGUCUUGUAGAGGGGGGUAGAAUUCCAGGUGUAGCGGUGAAAUGCGUAGAGAUCUGGAGGAAUACCGGUGGCGAAGGCGGCCCCCUGAACAAAGACUGACGCUCAGGUGCGAAAGCGUGGGGAGCAGACAGGAUUAGAUACCCCAGUAGUC